ACUCAAAGGAAUUGACGGGGGCCCGCACAAGCAGUGGAGCAUGUGGUUUAAUUCGAUGCUACGCGAAAAACCUUACCAGGGUUUGACUUCCCGGUGAAAGCCUUUGGAAACAUUGGCCCCCCUUCGGGGCACCGGUGACAGGUGGUGCAUGGUUGUCGUCAGCUCGUGCCGUGAGGUGUUGGAUUAAGUUCCGCAACGAGCGCAACCCUCGUUGCCAGUUACCAUCAUUAAGUUGGGGACUCUGGCGAGACCGCCGGCGUCAAGCCGGAGGAAGGUGGGGACGACGUCAAAUCAUCAUGCCCCUUACAUCCUGGGCUACACACGUGCUACAAUGGUCGGUACAACGGGCUGCAACACUGCGAAGUGAAGCGAAUCCCUUAAAGCCGAUCUCAGUUCGGAUUGUAGGCUGCAACUCGCCUGCAUGAAGCCGGAAUUGCUAGUAACCGUGGAUCAGCAUGCCGCGGUGAAUACGUACCCGGGCCUUGUACACACCGCCCGU
RNAcentral lists this ribosomal RNA (499 nucleotides) under uncultured bacterium. Its description in RNAcentral is "partial 16S ribosomal RNA". It matches the Rfam family "Bacterial small subunit ribosomal RNA", at positions 899 to 1397 of the family's 1533-position model. The record is from RNAcentral.